AGCGAACGUUAGCGGCGGGCUUAACACAUGCAAGUCGAGCGAGAAAGGGGCUUCGGCCCUGAGUAAAGCGGCGGACGGGUGAGUAACACGUAGGUAAUCUUCCCUUGAGCGGGGGACAACGAUUCGAAAGGAUCGCUAAUACCGCAUACGUUUCCAGAGACUCUGGUCUUUGGAAGGAAAGCUAGGCCGCAAGGUCCGGCACUCGAGGAGGAGCCUGCGUCGCAUCAGCUAGUUGGUGGGGAACGGCCUACCAAGGCGAAGACGCGUAGCUGGUCUGAGAGGAU
Molecule: ribosomal RNA, 284 nt
Filed under: uncultured bacterium
Lineage: Bacteria
Description: partial 16S ribosomal RNA
Rfam family: Bacterial small subunit ribosomal RNA
Source: RNAcentral